This 6390-nucleotide long non-coding RNA is filed under the name Canis lupus familiaris (dog). RNAcentral describes it as "lncRNA (ENSCAFG00000058268.1, ENSCAFG00805028301.1)". Lineage: Eukaryota; Metazoa; Chordata; Mammalia; Carnivora; Canidae. The record is from RNAcentral.
AGAACUUCCUAACAAUUUGAAGAUAACAAAGAUGCAUAAAGUAGUAAGCCACAUACUUCCAGAAAUAAUUCAAUUCUCAGCUGGAAGACAAUUCAGCAGAGAUGCUGCAGGGGGAAUGUAAGUUUCAAAUGAGUUGAAGAUGAACCUAAACAACAGUAACCUUGAACAUUUAUGAUUCUGCAAAUUAUGAUAUAUUGAGAUUUAUCCUCAGAGACCUCGUUGGCUAUUAGACAUUUUGGUUCUUAGGGUCAAUUUUCUGGUGGAGAACAACUAGUAGUCCAUGAGUCAUACCUGGCCCACCUAGUAUUUGUUAAAUAUUUAAAUAAUUACCAACACUCCAAACUCUUGGAAAAUUCAUAUAAAGCUUUGAUUUUAUAGCCUCUCUUGGAAAAACUAGACGUGUAUUAGCUGUAAACAUGAUUGACUACACCCUUAGCACAAAGUUCCUGUUCUCCCAAUUUCUAGUUCAACUCAUUUAUUUACACUGCCUCUCUUUCUCUGAUUUAUAUUUCAUUUUGCAAUCCCUGUAUAAACCAAAAUUAACACUAUUCUCUACUCUGACUACCACAGCUUUAUCCUCUUUUUCUGUUAGACUGAUCUAGAUUCCACUGACCACAAUCAUACACUUUAACAAUUAUUGCAAAAAAAUAACAAUAAUAACAAACAUAAGAAGUAUAGGGUAACACUUACCGAGGGUUCAUUCUGUGCACUGUACUAAUGCUGUAAUAUACUAUGUUAAUCAGUAUAGACAAGGCUUCCACUGCUGCAACAAUUCCCAAUCUCAAUGACUUAACACAGAAAGGUUCAUUUCUUGCACGCAUUUCACAUCUAAUAGGGAUUAGCACAGUAUUUUAAUCCACAUAAUACUCAGGUACCCAUCUGACCAAGGCUCUACUAUUCUGUGGUUUCUUUUUUGAUUCUCUCAAAUAUUUAGUAGACUUUCUCUUUGAUUGCCAGAAAUUCCAUGGACCAACAUCUGCAUCAAUAGUUCUUUGUGAAGCAUGCUUUCAGAAAAUAUUCUAUUUUCCAGGCUUUCCCCUAGAACUCAAAGUUCAUUAGAAUUUGAUCUCCUCAAGUUCUAUCAGAUGUCAGUACUGCCAAACAUUUUGCCACUACAUAACAUGGAUUGCCACUCUUCUGACCUCUGAGAUCACUAUCCUUAAUGCCUUUUGUCCAACCCUUAGGCUAAUAUUUAAAACAUAAAUAUUUUAUGCUUUUAUUACAACAGCAUCCUACUUCCUGUAAGAUCUGUAUUAUUUACAAUAGCUUAAGCUUAUGCUGCAGUAACAAGUCAUCCAAAUUUUUAGUGGCUUGACAUUGGAAAAGUUUAUUUCUCAUUUUUGCAACCUAUCUGAUCAUAGUAGCCAGGACUCUGCUCCACACUAUCACUCAGGGACCCAGGCUGACUAAAGCUCUACCAUCUUGUAGCUUUGCCACCUAUAAUAUGCUACCUUCUCAGCUGUCACAGCAAGGGAAGACAAAGACUAGUGGAUUAGUCAUCAACUUUUUAAUGCCUCACUCCAGAAGUGACGCACAGUACUUUCACAUUUCAUCAGCCAGGAAAUGACACCUAACUGCAAGUGUUGGUGGGAAAUCUGAGAAUAGAUAGAAACGUUAGUGAGUACCAGUCUCUUUGCCUCAUUAUCCCACUUAAUUCUUCUUCCACAAUUCUUUCAAGUAUCAUUAUCCCAGUCUACAGAUGAAGAAACUGAGACACGAAGAAGUUGAAUGAAUUAUCUAAAGACAAGGCUAGUAAAUGGAAGAUGCAGGGUAAGAUUCCAAAAUGAGAAACCAGGUAGAGGAAUCGUAACCUAAACACACUAUCUACAUCUUUUAGGUACUUCUAAAUUUAUUCAUUUACCAAAAAUUCAUUGAUUUACCUCACAGAAGUCCAGAUUUCACCACCAUAGUGUGAUUUUGCACAACUCAUGACUUCAGUCUCACAGGACUUAUUAAUGUGAGAAUAAAAAAUACCCACAGAACUUCAGUUUACUUUCCUGUGAUUAAAGAAAGUGGACUAGGGGAUCCCUGGGUGGCGCAGCAGUUUAGCGCCUGCCUUUGGCCCAGGGCACGAUCCUGGAGACCCAGGAUUGAAUCCCACGUCCGGCUCCCGGUGCAUGGAGCCUGCUUCUCCCUCUGCCUAUGUCUCUGCCUCUCUCUCUCUCUCUCUCUCUGUGACUAUCAUAAAUAAAUAAAAAUUUUUUUAAAAAGUGGACUAGUAAUUCUCAAUGCUCCAUCCACCUCAGGUACUAGUGAUUCAAUUCUUAGGCCAGUGUGAAAUUAAUUCAGAACUCAGGUAUCAGCCCUCCAACUGUGCUACUUCAUUACCCACAGAAUCUUGGUGGCCUGGGUGACAUGAUGUGCAAAAGGUGAUCAGCAUUAUCAGUGCUUCUUCAUACUUACAAAAAUAUUUGAAAUGUUUUAUUUCUCCUUCUUUUAUGGGGUUAGGCAAUUGAUAUUACUUUCAAGUGGCAUCCCCUAGAUAAGAAAAGUUAAAUUUCCAUUGUUUUAGCCCAUUUUAAAACUGAACAUAAGAAGAGAGGGCAAAGAAUUUUUUCUCUCCCAAGUCCUCACUACGUGCUUAUGAGGACUUCGGUGGUGAGGGUGUAGAGGGGGUCAGGCAUUUGGGUUCCAUAUGUAGAUCACAAGAUAAAUAUCUAGUCCUCCCCCUGUUGUACUUACUCAUGUCAUCCCCAGUCAAUAAACAUCAAACCCUUUUUAAAUUUAAAUGGAAGUCAGCUGUAUCAAUAGGACUAGUAUUACCAAUAGAACAACUAGGACUAAGAUCAUCUGGGUACAUUUGGAAAUUGGUGAACUGUGCCCACCAGAGGUCUGUUGACACAGAGAUGCUGAUGAAUGUUAGGAGAAAGAAGUCUGGAAAAGAUGUAGAACAGAGCCAGGGAGUAGGUAAAAGUCUUCUCAACCUUUAUAUGAAUAGAAGAGGAAACCAAGCACUCAAGUCUUCUCCUACUGAAGAAGCUUGAGCUAUAGGAUGGAAGGGGCAAUUCUGAAUCUGAGUGACUCAGAGGCAUAAAUAGCACUACUUGGGGCCCUGUGACAAAGCAGAGCACAAAAUCCAGAAGGAAAGUAAGUCAUUCUACUUCAGUAAUCUACUGCUGCAUAACAAACCAUUCCAAACUGAAGAGUGCAAAACAGUAAGAAUUUUAACAUAUCUCAUGACUCUCAGGCAGAGGAAAGGCUCAUCUUUGUAUCAUGGUAUCUGGGCCUCAGCUUGGAAGAGUGAGAGGGAUGGGGUGAUUCAGACAUUUUGGCAAUGGAAUUAUCUGAAGGCUAUUUCAUUCACAUGUCCAACUCAUUUUACUCAAAGUUUCCACUUAACCAGGACUGUUGAACAAAGUACCUACACAUGGCCUCUCUGUGAGGCUUGGUCUUGCAGCAUGCAGCUGGAUUCUGAGAGAGAGCAUCUCAAGAGGAAACACCUGGAAAGAUAAUGUUCCAAGAGAGCCAAGUGGCAGUGCAUAGCUUUUUAUGACCUAACCUCAGAAGCCACAUACCAUCAUUUCUCCAUACUCUGUUAGUCACAGCAAUGAUUGGCCUGCCUAUAAUCUAUGAGGAGGGACACAAACUCAACUUGAUUGAAGUAACAUCAAAGAAUUUGGAGCCACAUUUUUAAAUCAUCAUACAUUCUUCCCCACUUUGGCUUUGCCAUCUCAAGGGUUGUUGGGCCUCACUUGUGGCAGACACAUAAUUAUUGACACAGUGGCACCUAGCAUGAGACUGCCUGGUUUGUAGUCACACUAAGAUACACAUUAGGAACACCUAGAAAUCCUUGAGGAAUACCUCAUAGGAACCUAAGUUCCUGUGCAAAUAAGAAAAGCAAAAGCCAGAGGAACCAGCUUAUUCUUAAUAAUGUAGUUCCAUGUGUGAGCACAGGCGGGAGAAAUCUCAGCAAAGGGUAGGAGGAACAUGCUGUAUACUUAGGAAUUGUCAGAGAAAACAGGGCAACUAAAAGGGAAACCCACAGGGACUCUAAAAGACAGGGACUAAUGUACCACUUACUGCAAUGCUACCCAAUUCAGGAUGGCUGCAGAUUGCAAACUAGAUGAGCUAUUUUGUUCUGUUGAAAUAAGGAAACAAGCUGUGCUUUUCAAGCCAACCCUUUAAGCCAACCUUGAGUCUUCUAUAAAGAAUUGCAAGCAUGAUGCUCUUCAAAAUGCCAACCACGGAUGCUCAUGGAAAUACAAGUUUCAUGUGCACAAGUAAGGAAAGGGCUUUAUGUUAGAAAUUGGCUUUUCAGCCACACACACACACAUACAUACACCCUGCCCUCACAUCUUUAAUAAUAAAACAAACCACACAAAAUUUAUUUCCAAGCACUUGAUCAUUCUGAAAAAUCAGAGGGAAUUUGAGCCAAAAGGGAGGAAAGUAACCCUUAUCCACAAAGGAUAAAUAUCUGCCCCAUAAUUUAUGGAGAAUGCAAAUCAUCCAAGCAGCAGUCUAUUGGCAUUGACUGUUAUUUCAUUUAAUUAAAUGGCUAUACAAGCCUCAGAAUGCCAUGUCUCCUGCCAGCUGACCCUAUUCCCACGACCUUCCCUUCACAGAGUUCAGGGGAACAUGAUACUAAAGAAAGACAUUUCAUUUUAAACUAGAGAGAAAUAUGAAUUGGUACAUGAAGGGAGGUCAGGUGGUGAGGACUUUUCCUUUGACUAAUUUGUGCCAUCGAAGCCUCUGACUACUGUGCAUGAUAAAUUUACAUUGUCUCGUUUUUUGUUUUGUUUUGUUUUCUUAAUUCAGAGGGCAGUCAGCCUUGUCACUUUUGCAUUAUCAUGUAGCUAAAUUUUGCAUGAAACGUGUCACUGUGUAUGAUGUUUUUUAAAGAUUACAGAAAUCAGCAUUUCUUAUGCUUGCUUUUGCUACUAAAAUCUUGAUUCUUGAAAGAUUCUGGACCUUCUGAGUAUUCAUUAAGCACUGGAGUUGUGAUCCCAUGGUUAGGCUGAUUAAGUCUUGGAGCACGUGUAGGUGAAGUUCUAAGGAGAAGUUUCAUGCUGGCUUAUCUCACCUACCCAUAGAACUCAAGGUUCAUGGGUCUAUACUAGAUCUACCUGAAAUGAACCUGCACAAAGGCAUCUGGAUGGCUUAGUCAUUUAAGUGUCCGAUUCUUGAUUUUGGCUCAGGUCAAGAUUUCAGGGCCAUGAGACAGACCUCCAUGUCGGGCUCUGAAGCCAGCAGGGGGCCUGUUUGAGAUUCUCGUUCUCUGGCUGCUCCUCUCCCUGUGUUCAUGUACUUCUCUCUCUCUCUCAAAUAAAUUUUAAAAAUCUUUUUAAAAAGUGAAUCCACACAGUGUCUGAUCUCUCUUCUUUUCUCCCAUGACCGCCUCCCUCAGUCUUUUUUUAUUAUUACACUCAUGAAUUUUUAAAAUAAGUAUUUUAAAAUACUUGGGCAGCCCAGGUGGCUCAGCGGUUUAGCGCUGCCUUCAGCCCAGGGCAUGAUCCUGGAGACCCAGGAUCGAGUCCCACUGCAUGAAGCCUGCUUCUCCCUCUGCCUAUGUCUCUGCCUCUCCUUCUCUCUCCCUCUGAUGAAUAAAUAAAUAAAAUCUUUUAAAAAAAUAAAAUACUUUUAUUCCAUUGUAUUAAUUGUAAAAGGGAAUACAUUUUUAUGUAGUAUACAGUAUUUCCAGCUUUCUAAAAGAUUCCUCCAUGCCCCCUCCUAGUUAAUAUCUUCCCCUGAAAGGUAACCACUGCUCUGACUUUAGUCACCAUACAUUAGUUUUGCCUAUUUCUUGAACUUCAUAUAAAUGGAAUUACACAAUACAGUUUAUACACUGUUGUUUCUUUCAUUCACCAUUAUGACUAUGAGUCCUCUGUGUUGUUGAAUGUAGCAACAUUUCUCCCUUUCUAAUAUACCAUUGUAUGAAUAUACAUACAAUAAUAGUUUAUUUGGAGACGUUCUACUGCUAAAGAUCCAUUUUACUGCUGAUGGUGCCCUCAGGCUUUUUCCUCUAUUUGUUAUCCUCCUCAGAUAUCAGCUAUAAUAUCAAAAAAGAGUCAGGCCCUUCUCGAAGCCGAGAGCAAUUCCAGGCUCCAUGAGGUGAGUAGAUGAAGGAGAUAUAUUCAAGCCUUUGAGAUCCUAUCCUGGAGGCUAUUUUAAGUCCUUUAGAGUCUUCUAAGUGAAACAACCAAAAGAAGACAAAGCAGCAGCAAUAGCAUUAUUUUCUUGCUGAUGUUGACCUCUUUCAAAGGUUAACUUAUAUGUUCAACUAUUGGAUAUUUUUAGCACCUAUUGUAUGCCAGAUAUUUGUUAGGUCCUAGGAAUGAAGCAUCAAAUAAGACAGAUAAGGAUGCUGUUCUUCUGAAGCUAACUUUCAAAGAAGAUAUCAGAUGGUGAUGAAAUCUAUGGUGAAAAUUAAAAUAGGACAGUGCAAUGAAAUAG